UUUUACAAUGAAGAGUUUGAUCCUGGCUCAGGAUGAACGCUAGCUACAGGCUUAACACAUGCAAGUCGAGGGGCAGCGGGAUUGAAGCUUGCUUCAAUCGCCGGCGACCGGCGCACGGGUGAGUAACGCGUAUCCAACCUUCCGUUUACUCGGGGAUAGCCUUUCGAAAGAAAGAUUAAUACCCGAUGGUAUGGUAAGAUUGCAUGGU
Molecule: ribosomal RNA, 208 nt
Filed under: Bacteroides caecigallinarum
Lineage: Bacteria; Pseudomonadati; Bacteroidota; Bacteroidia; Bacteroidales; Bacteroidaceae
Description: partial 16S ribosomal RNA
Rfam family: Bacterial small subunit ribosomal RNA
Source: RNAcentral